GUGUCAGCAGCCGCGGUAAUACAGAGGGUGCAAGCGUUAAUCGGAAUGACUGGGCGUAAAGGGCGCGUAGGCGGUUAGAAAAGUAAGAGGUGAAAGACCCGGGCUUAACUUGGGCAGGGCCUCUUAAACUAGAUGACUAGAGUACAGUAGAGGGGAGUGGAAUUUCCGGAGUAGCGGUAAAAUGCGUAGAGAUCGGAAGGAACACCAGUGGCGAAAGCGACUCCCUGGGCUGAUACUGACGCUGAGGCGCGAAGGCGUGGGGAGCAAACAGGAUUAGAUACCCUGGUAGUCCACGCGGUAAACGAUGAAAACUAGCUGAAGGUACCUAUCAUGAGUAUCUGUAGCGAAGCAAACGCGAUAAGUUUUCCGCCUGAGGAGUACGGCCGCAAGGCUAAA
Molecule: ribosomal RNA, 396 nt
Filed under: uncultured bacterium
Lineage: Bacteria
Description: bacterial SSU rRNA
Rfam family: Bacterial small subunit ribosomal RNA
Source: RNAcentral